This 1862-nucleotide unclassified non-coding RNA is filed under the name uncultured fungus. RNAcentral's name for it is "sequence contains 18S rRNA gene, ITS1, 5.8S rRNA gene, ITS2, 28S rRNA gene". The stretch from base 725 to 1862 matches the Rfam family "Eukaryotic large subunit ribosomal RNA", at positions 1 to 961 of the family's 3401-position model. The record is from RNAcentral. Lineage: Eukaryota; Fungi.
GGAAGGAUCAUUAACACGUAUCCAAACGUAUAAACCCCAUUAUGCGAAACACAAUCCGCGCCCUGACCGUGUCCGAGCCACUCGAUAUGGCUUGGCAGCCUGCAGUUUGGAACGGCUGCAUGGCUGGAGCUCUGUCCUGGUCCUUUUAUUAGGCCCUUGAACAUCCGCAUGGUAGGUGCUGCCUUUUUUUCCACACCAACACCUUCUCUGGUUUGACGGAAAACAAAAAAAAGUCACAGGUUUACUUGUGAUUUUUCUGAGAUAUUGAACGCUGAACAACUUUUAGCAACGGAUAUCUUGGUUCUCGCAACGAUGAAGAACGCAGCGAAAUGCGAUACGUAAUGUGAAUUGCAGAAUUCAGUGAAUCAUCGAAUCUUUGAACGCAAAUUGCGCUUCGGGGAAUCCCCUGGAGCAUGCCUCUUUGAGUAUUGGUUCUACCUUUCUCCUUUACUUUAACUUUAUGUUGGAGUUGAGCCGAGAAGAGAGUGGGCGUCUCGCUGGCAACAGCGCGUCGCCUCAAGUGGACGGCACAGCUCUUCGUGCUGCUGUGUGCGUUGGAAAGAUAGGUCAGCGUGCUUACUUUCUGCCCUCACAGGCUAUUUUUCCCUCGCUGCAGUUGGCCGCCGGAACUUCAAACCUUCUGGCGAGAGACAGUCUCCGAGGGGCCGCAUUGGGGCGCUUCUAAGGCGCUCUGGCGGUCGCUCAACCCUAACAAUACCCAAUCUAAUCUCAAAUGAGGUAAGAGGACCCCCUGAAUUUAAGCAUAUCAUUAAGGGGAGGAAAAGAAACUAACAAGGAUUCCCUCAGUAACGGCGAGUGAAGCGGGAAGAGCUCAAGCUUAAAAUCGGGCGCUUUCGGGCGUUCGAAUUGUAGUCUAGAGAGGUGCGGUCAGCGCGUGGCCCGGAUGUAAGUACUUUGGAACAAGUCUGUCAUAGAGGGUGAGAACCCCGUAUGUCAUUCGGAGACCGCCGCGUACGAUGCGCUUUCGACGAGUCGGGUUGCUUGGGACUGCAGCCCUAAUUGGAUGGUAAAUUUCAUCUAAAGCUAAAUAUUGGCGAGAGACCGAUAGCGAACAAGUACCGUGAGGGAAAGAUGAAAAGAACUUUGAAAAGAGAGUUAAAAAGUGCUUGAAAUUGCUAAAAGGGAAGCGAUGGAAAUCAGUCGUGUGCGCGUAGUCCAGAUUCCUUAGAGCUGCGGCGCAGUGGCGUCGGUCACCGCAAGGGGCCGGCGCUGCGGCAAACACAGCUCCUAGUCUCUGAUUGCGUGCGAGUGUCAGGAUCAUUUCGGCUCGGAGCAGAACCGCUAGGGAAAGGUAGGUUGAAUCGUCCUCGCGGCGUGCAGACUGUUAAGUCCCCUGUAGGUGCUACCGGGCUGGAAUGAGGCCACUUAAUGUGGGCAACGCGCGCCCUUUGGCGAGAUGCAGCUGUCCCGGGGUGUUAGGGUGUGUGGAAUACAAUGCAUUGCCGCGCCCGAAUCGCUUUGCUGGCAGUUGCCACUUUCUGCGUGUUCGCGAUCCUGGCGAAAUGGUUUUCACCGACCCGUCUUGAAACACGGACCAAGGAGUCUAACAUAUAUGCGAGUAUUUGGGUGGUAAACCCUGAUGCGCAAUGAAAGUGAAGGCAAGCGAUUUCGUUUGCUGAGGUGUGAUCCGCAAGGAGCAACAUCGACCGAUCAGUCACUUGUGAAAGAUUUGAGUAAGAGCAUAUCUGUCGGGACCCGAAAGAUGGUGAACUAUGCCUGGACAGGGCGAAGCCAGGGGAAACUCUGGUGGAGGCUCGUAGCGAUACUGACGUGCAAAUCGUUCGUCUGAUCUGGGUAUAGGGGCGAAAGACUAAUCGAACCAUCUAGUAGCUGGUUCCCUC